UUUUUUGAUAAUGCAGGAACCCGCAGCCAACCAUAUAGGUGCACUGGGUAAACCUACACUCUCGUAUAAUAGCUUGCAAACCAUACGAGAGAUUUAAACCACACUAGGCUAACCAUGUGUGACAAGCUCGACCUAGCGACCGUUGUCAAGGGGAUUCGAACUUGGGUCAAUUGACCCAAGCUCCCUUGCUUCCAACCGCUAG
Molecule: long non-coding RNA, 202 nt
Filed under: Erythranthe guttata (spotted monkey flower)
Lineage: Eukaryota; Viridiplantae; Streptophyta; Magnoliopsida; Lamiales; Phrymaceae
Description: long non-coding RNA (EGUT_LNC000693)
Source: RNAcentral